AACGUAGGAGGCGAGCGUUAUCCGGAUUCACUGGGCGUAAAGCGCCGGUAGGUGGUUCGGCAAGUGGAUGGUGAAAGCCCCUGGCUCAACUGGGGGAGGCCUGUCCAAACUGCGGGACUGGAGGGUCAGAGAGGCAGGUGGAAUUCCCGGUGUAGCGGUGGAAUGCGUAGAGAUCGGGAGGAACACCAGUGGCGAAGGCGGCCUGCUGGCUGACAUCUGACACUGAGAGGCGAAAGCGUGGGUAG
RNAcentral lists this ribosomal RNA (245 nucleotides) under uncultured Thermoflavimicrobium sp. RNAcentral describes it as "partial 16S ribosomal RNA". It matches the Rfam family "Bacterial small subunit ribosomal RNA", at positions 524 to 768 of the family's 1533-position model. The record is from RNAcentral. Lineage: Bacteria; Bacillati; Bacillota; Bacilli; Caryophanales; Thermoactinomycetaceae.